UGUUUUCUCAAAGACUGAUCCU
RNAcentral lists this microRNA (22 nucleotides) under Equus caballus (horse). Its description in RNAcentral is "eca-miR-9084". Lineage: Eukaryota; Metazoa; Chordata; Mammalia; Perissodactyla; Equidae. The record is from miRBase by way of RNAcentral.